AGCUGGCGGAGCUACCAUGCAGUCGAACGGUAACAGGAAGCAGCUUGCUGCUUUGCUGACGAGUGGCGGACGGGUGAGUAAUGUCUGGGAAACUGCCUGAUGGAGGGGGAUAACUACUGGAAACGGUAGCUAAUACCGCAUAACGUCGCAAGACCAAAGAGGGGGACCUUCGGGCCUCUUGCCAUCGGAUGUGCCCAGAUGGGAUUAGCUAGUAGGUGGGGUAACGGCUCACCUAGGCGACGAUCCCUAGCUGGUCUGAGAGGAUGACCAGCCACACUGGAACUGAGACACGGUCCAGACUCCUACGGGAGGCAGCAGUGGGGAAUAUUGCACAAUGGGCGCAAGCCUGAUGCAGCCAUGCCGCGUGUAUGAAGAAGGCCUUCGGGUUGUAAAGUACUUUCAGCGGGGAGGAAGGCGAUGAGGUUAAUAACCUUGUCGAUUGACGUUACCCGCAGAAGAAGCACCGGCUAACUCCGUGCCAGCAGCCGCGGUAAUACGGAGGGUGCAAGCGUUAAUCGGAAUUACUGGGCGUAAAGCGCACGCAGGCGGUCUGUCAAGUCGGAUGUGAAAUCCCCGGGCUCAACCUGGGAACUGCAUUCGAAACUGGCAGGCUAAACGGUCUUGUAGAGGGGGGUAGAAUUCCAGGUGUAGCGGUGAAAUGCGUAGAGAUCUGGAGGAAUACCGGUGGCGAAGGCGGCCCCCUGGACAAAGACUGACGCUCAGGUGCGAAAGCGUGGGGAGCAAACAGGAUUAGAUACCCUGGUAGUCCACGCCGUAAACGAUGUCGACUUGGAGGUUGUGCCCUUGAGGCGUGGCUUCCGGAGCUAACGCGUUAAGUCGACCGCCUGGGGAGUACGGCCGCAAGGUUAAAACUCAAAUGAAUUGACGGGGGCCCGCACAAGCGGUGGAGCAUGUGGUUUAAUUCGAUGCAACGCGAAGAACCUUACCUACUCUUGACAUCCAGAGAACUUUCCAGAGAUGGAUUGGUGCCUUCGGGAACUCUGAGACAGGUGCUGCAUGGCUGUCGUCAGCUCGUGUUGUGAAAUGUUGGGUUAAGUCCCGCAACGAGCGCAACCCUUAUCCUUUGUUGCCAGCGGUUAGGCCGGGAAAUCAAAGGAGAAAACCAAAGAUAAAAGAUAGGAAGGGGGGGAGGACGUCAAGUCAUCAUGGCCCUUACGAGUAGGGCAACACAAAGGUAACAAUGGCGCAUACAAAGAGAAAUGACCUCGGGAAGCAAGCGGAAUCAAAGGAGUUGUGAAGUCCGAAAAUGAGUCUGCAACUGGACGACGAAAGUCGGAAAAGUUGAGAAUCGUGGAUCAUAAGGCCAAGAUGGAGGUAUUCCGAGGCUUUAUACACACCGCCCAUCACAGCCAUGGGAAUGAAAACAAAAGCAGGGCAAAGCUAACCAUUGUGAGGGCAGAUACCUGUUUUGUGACACGCUCCAGGACGAGGUCAACUCACAAUAGCACAGCGCC
Molecule: ribosomal RNA, 1475 nt
Filed under: Enterobacter sp. 251
Lineage: Bacteria; Pseudomonadati; Pseudomonadota; Gammaproteobacteria; Enterobacterales; Enterobacteriaceae
Description: bacterial SSU rRNA
Rfam family: Bacterial small subunit ribosomal RNA
Source: RNAcentral